This 78-nucleotide ribosomal RNA is filed under the name Candidatus Saccharimonadota bacterium. Its description in RNAcentral is "partial 16S ribosomal RNA". The stretch from base 1 to 70 matches the Rfam family "Bacterial small subunit ribosomal RNA", at positions 1464 to 1533 of the family's 1533-position model. The record is from RNAcentral. Lineage: Bacteria; Candidatus Saccharimonadota.
GGGGGGCAUGAUUGGGGUUAAGUCGUAACAAGGUAUCCGUACCGGAAGGUGCGGAUGGAUUACCUCCUUUCUAGGGAG